This 87-nucleotide unclassified non-coding RNA is filed under the name Pseudomonas palleroniana. The record is from RNAcentral. Lineage: Bacteria; Pseudomonadati; Pseudomonadota; Gammaproteobacteria; Pseudomonadales; Pseudomonadaceae.
GUGGGAGGGGGCUUGCUCCCGAUAACGGUGGAUCAGUCAGUGCAUGGGUCACUGGUGGACCGCUAUCGGGAGCAAGCCCCCUCCCAC